This is a long non-coding RNA of Pan troglodytes (chimpanzee), 3516 nucleotides long. RefSeq lists it as uncharacterized. The transcript has 4 exons. The record is from RefSeq and is a predicted model, not a curated record. Lineage: Eukaryota; Metazoa; Chordata; Mammalia; Primates; Hominidae.
AAACAGUACAGGCAAGCAAAUGACAGAAGCUGUUCUGUCCUUCUCACCCACUGGACCAUAGCAGGAGUCCUAGGCAACGUCACUUUGUCCUGGCCUAUGUUAGAUCACUUGAUUAAGGUGGUGACACGAGACUGCUCCAGUUCAAGUUAUUGAAGGCAAGAAAGGUGCUUCCUACUCUUUGCAAAAAAAGGCACUGCUCAUACGCCCAGCAGACAAGCGUCUUUCUGAGGAACCAGGGGAGACAGAUUUUGAGCAAUUGAUGGAGAGGGUGUGAAACUACUCUGAGGGCACCAUGCUCUGGCAGGCUGUUUUUACUGUGUAAGGCAGUGCAGCGGGCAGUGCCCACACUCUGAUGAUGACUGUCCCGGAUUCUACGGAGUGGCAGCCACUUACUAGCCAUGUGGUCUGGGGAAAUCAAGAAAAAGCUCUCUUCUUCUCCUUCCUCUCUCAAGAGCAGGGCUGCAUCUCCAGUCUCUGGCACAGAGUAGGCCUUGAUAAAUAAUCAACGAAUGGAUGGAAGGAUGGAUGGAUGAAAGAAUGAAAGCAAGCCCAUUUCUGACAGGCUGAAUCAAUUCCUGAGCCCAGUUUUAAAAAGAGACCAGAGGAACAAAUAUUACUCUCCUGCUGAUAAAAAACACUUUAAACUCCUCAGAAGGCAAGACCCUGCUGCUGGGAAUCUAGAAGCCAGAGCUAGCAGAAUAACUGCCAGAGAACAUUCCAGAACGUAGGUCUGCUCCAGUCCAAGAAUAUCUCGGCAUGAACCUGUUUUACAAGUACCUACAAGUCGGGAGGCAUCAGACUUUCCUAGAAAAGUCCCAGAAACCUCACUAUGUCGGUGACAAAGAGAGACUUUUCCUGUCUAGACACCACAAUGCUUGUAAUUAAAAUUAAGAUUUAGGAGGUGGAGGGAGGCAACACACACUCCUUGAAGACAAUCUCAAAAAUCCAGGUAAAUGCUCCACACAUAAAAAUAAUCUCUAAUCUUGGCACCAAGGGAUAGAAUAGGCCAACAUACCUCCUUCGAGUCUGAAAUGGAUUUCAAAAUCAACCAAAGCUGCCCUGCCAGUGCUAGCUAACACAACCGACAAUACUGACAGGUAAGUGCCUGGGUGGUGAGAGGUGGGCUGCUGCGAUCAGGGGCUCCUGAACACCGCAUGUUCAAUUAAUUCGUGCAGCUUGAAAUACAACCCCCACUCCCGGAAAACAAAAAUAAAAUUAAAAUUAAAAAAAAACCAUGCAGAGCCCAGAAAGUUAGGCCCUGGACAAACAGGUCUGGGUGUUAAACUUGCUAAGGCAAAUUGAACAAUUUAAGAGCUUCCGGCCCAGCCAGCUGUCUGACAGGCAGUUUACACAAAAUCCCUCCCCUGAAACAGCUCUAAGCCUGCCAGUCUGCAGAGAUGGGAACAGGAAAUGGAAAAUCACCAUGUCCUCUGCUCACUGUGCUGUGACAUUCGAGCCCCGUGCCCAGAUUUGCUCAGCAUGGCCCUCACUAAUGUGACAGACCACCUUUUCCAGUUGCCCUGUGCCGCGUGGCCACCACGCAAACGUCACUGAUUAGAGAAGCACCAUUGAUGUCAUGGCAGUGUUUUGGAAGAAAGAUAAGCAAUAGUCACUUUAAUUGCACACAUCAAAUGUAAGACCUGUUCUGAUUCCUGAAAUGUUCAAACAUUGAAAGGCUCAAGCAUUUCAAAUGCUCUCCACGGCAGGGAGGAAAUGGAGUUUCCUCCUGACCACUCUUGCAUGAGAUGUAGGGAGCUAUUAAAUUAUCUCCUGCAAGGGCGUUGCCACGUUUCCUUGCAGAUUUAGGUUUAAUUCUAUCAAUAAAUCUCAUGUUUUGUCAGAAAUACACCCCUGAAAAAGACCACCUGGAAAUAUUGCCCCAUUUGCAGCUGCUGCCUACAAUUAGAGCUGUGGAGGCAUCUCAAGCAUUCCCAGUUUUGGGGAGAGCUGAUGUGUUUAACUUCUCCAGGCUAGGAAGCAGCAUAUUCAUUCAUCCUUGUCGACCAGAAAGGAUUAAGACUGCUUUCAAGUUUCUGAAAUCUCCAGUGGGGAGACCCCAUCCCGUCCCCUGCCUUGUUGUCAAAGAAGCUGCUUUUCAGAAGCAACAGUUGCCAAGUAAUCAAAGCAGGGGUGAGUGGGGGAUGGAGGAUGCAAAGGGGAGUGAUGCUGGUUUACUGGGAGGAAGACAGGCCUCUCCUAGAAUCUCCUGAAGCCCCACUGCAGGUACCUGGCAGGCAAUAGCUUUUAGUGGUAUCUGCCCUAAGACAUGAGGCUUAACAGGCACUAAAAGCAAUCAGUCUGGAAAGGAUUCCUUGUCUGUGCUUCCUGGAUAGGGAAAGGCAGAAAUGCAGGGCAAAGUCUCUCGUGGCUGGGAGCACAGAAGAGAAGCCUCAAGUGGACACGGGUGAGGGGCCAGGAUGGAGAAGAGACAUUGCUUGUUCUUUUAUAGUUUAUUGUUUAGGUAGAGAGUAAGUCAAAUAAAUGUUUUUCUGGAAGGCAGCUGUGCUCACCACUGUACCACCAAUGCUAACAGUUCCAAAGGCUCCCACAAAUGAAGUUAAAUUUAGGGAAAAACGGGUCUCAUCAGCUGUUAGUUGAGUUAAAACUUCCGUAAGGCAAUUUGGCACUACUUAUCAAAAUCUUCAGUGUACCUACCUGUUGACCAAAACAAUUCCACCUCCGGGAAUUUAUCUUACAGACAGACUCAUGUAAGUUUGCAAAGAUACAGGGAAAAAGCCAGUCACUGUCAUAUUGUGUACAGCAGUGAAAAAAACAGAUGGCAACCUGAAUGUCCAAAAAUAGAGAAAUCAUUACAUAAAUGACAGUGUUUAUAAAACAAAGGACUUUGCAGUCAAUAAAAAGAGUGAAGUAAAUCCACAAGCGCUGAUGGAAAAAGAGGUUCCCUAACAUACUAUGAAGAAAGCACCUUUAGCAGUAACCGAGCUGUGUAAAUAUAUCUGGUCAAUUCUUGUUAUUCAUGUCAGUUAUGCUCUAUAAAGCCAUUGUGAACACUGAAUUAGUGAAUACUGAACCACUGCUCCUAGGGGAAGGUACAAGGUUAGGUUCCUGCAAGGCUCUGAUCACAACAUUUCAACAACUGAUCAGCCCAUAACUUUGUGUUGUGUAUUUGUUUAAUGCAUUAAUUCAUUAAUAUUGAACUCAUGGCCAACAGCAUUAUAACUUCUGCCUGAACACAGCUUCUCUAACAGAGGCUUUUUUCUACAAGGCACAUCACAGCCUUCUUGACCUUGGGAGCUCUAGACAGCACUUCAGCUCUAUUCUUGGAGACCUGUUGACACCAAAAUCACCAACAAAAAGCACAAAAAUAUGAAAAAUGUGGCACUAAGUCCACUAAAAACACAUUUGUUUAUAGUGUGAGAGGUGAAAGAAGAAGGCAGAGUGCUUCUUACUGGGUCUCAGCUUGGAAUAUGGGUAUGGGUCAAUCCAUAUGGGAUGCACAGCUCUGUGCGUGUUUGCGAAGCACCACGAAAGUGCCGCCACUUUUUUUUUUUUUUU